UGGACUGCUGUCUUCACUCAAAGCUGGUGUUGUACCAGUUAUGUGGAUUUUCAUCCCCAUAUACAUUAAAGGAAAUAAGAAAAAUGACACUCAUUUUAGGCUGUGGGUUUGUAACUAAACAAAUAAAAUGGCAGUUUGUUAUGGAAUUUAGAAUGUAGUGGUGCGUAGUGAUUUAUUCAGUGUGAAGCGGCUCAUUAGUAUGCAAGCCAUGGUAUACACUAUAUAUAAGCACGGUCAUGUGAUGCUGUUGAACCAAUCAGAGUUGGUUAUUUUUUGUACUAUUGUAAUGUUUCAGACUUCAUCAGGUAUAGUUUCAGCCACUUACAGAUAUUUGCUUUUGUAAAAUCACCUAGUGUAAUGAAAGCAUCUUUUAAACCUGAAAAGCACCUAAAGUGUUGUAACUAUGCUUUGAUUGUUAUGAAACUGCCAUCCUUUUUAUUUACUGUAAUCCAAGCCAUAGUGUCAAAGCCUCCCAUAAAAAUAUUUAGAAUCCAGAUCAAAGUCUAACUUUGAAUUUUUUAAAAAUAAUAACUCUUUUACUCUGGUAAACAUUUAUAAGGGCUAUUUCGCAGAGCAGUAAUGUUGUCAGUACUGUGCAAGUGUUUUUUUGUUGAUCUAUUGGUUUUUACUAGAGAGCCUCACUUAAAAGAUGUGUGUUCUUGUUCAAAUCCCAGAUCAAUCCAAAGUGAACUGAAACAAUCAAAGAGGAGUCUGUGAUGAAGAGCCACUUGCAGUAGGCUUUGCAGCAGCUGUAUUUUAUUGGACUCUCUUCCGCCCUGCAGCCUGUAGAAAAAUAACAGACUCCCACUGGCUUUGAUAUAAACAAGAGCUCUGCUGCCAGCACACACCGCUCCCUGAGAGAGGCAGAGAGAUCCCUGAGAAGAACGUGACUGUGCCACCAGGUCACAAGCAACAGAAGAAGCAAUUAUUAUGUGAAGAAAGAGGACUUGGUAAAGGAGCUUUUACCUUUACAGAAGCACAAACAGUACAGAAAUUAUCUGGGACUAUUACCACCAAACAACAAAGGAGUAGCGGAUAGAAUGCAAGGCUUGGUAUCGGGUUGUGGGUAGCUGAUGAGAAGGAAAGCUAUUGAGCAGUCCAGGACACUGUCAUCCUGCAGAGUGAGCAAAGGCCAAUGCAGUACUCCCUCUCGGCCACCAUCCAAGAUCAACAACAGACUCUAACAACGUGGACAGGAUUUGAACCACACACACAACAACAAGACUUCUGCAAUAGUGGUUUUAAAGCUUUUAACCUCAUCUCACCAACAGUGGACAGGACAGAAUCCAUAAUGGCAAUGCAUCACAGAGCAUUACCUGUUACACAAAGUUUAUUCCAAUAUGGGUUAAACAUAAUCAACUACAAACCAGAAAUGUAUCCACCACAGCGGAGUGAACAUUUUGACAAAUGAUGUUGUUACUCUUUAUGCCACAUUACCAGAUGCAGAGCUUUAUCGAAGGAACGCAAUUCUCAGAAUUCAGUCACUUAAUUUAGGUUUAAACUUACUUUAUUUUCAGUACGUUAUACUGUGUACAUAAACAGAAAACUCCACUAUAUUUAACUUACGAGGAGGAUAAACAACCCGCCUGCAGCCAUACUCGUUAAUGGAAUAACUUUAGUUCUCCAUGAGCAUCCAUGGUGUAUCCUCUAGGGAUUUAUGGCACUUCCACUAUAUCCCUAUCAUUGACGGUACACCUACUGUACUAUAUUAGACCAGGGGAAAGGGAAUUCCAAGACUGAAGAUGGAAAGACAAAAGCCCAGGUGUUGUUUGCAUAGUAACCUUGGGAGCACAUCCUGUAGAUGAAUCAUUUCAUGACGGUCACAGCUUACAGUGUAUUCUAUUCGUAGUAGAUGUCAGGUGCACAUAUGCACUAAUUGCCAGCUGCAGGUUUAAAAUACAGCAAUUUAAAUAAAGCUAUACUAACGUGACUCAGGUGCAUUCACAUGUUAAUUAAACGGUGUUGUAAAUCUCACACAAUACAUUUUCCUUCAUUGGGUUCAUGACAUUAGGUUUUUUCAACACAGCCACUUUCAGCAGAAUUAAGCUUGGUCUUUUUCAAGGUCUUAUGUAAUUUACGGCACAUCCUUGUGUAGCUUCAGUAUAAAUGUAUUUGGGUUCAUUAAUAUGCAAAGGAUUUGAUGGGUAGGAGCAACAGCAACAUUGUAUUUAUCUCCAGCUCUCUCUGUCUCUUUGUUUCUCUCUUUCCCAAUCUUCUUGUGCUUGCUCUGAUUCAAUUCAGCCAAUCGAA
Long non-coding RNA from Polyodon spathula (Mississippi paddlefish), 2250 nucleotides. RefSeq lists it as uncharacterized. NCBI's taxonomy places the organism in Eukaryota, Metazoa, Chordata, Actinopteri, Acipenseriformes, Polyodontidae. The record is from RefSeq and is a predicted model, not a curated record. The transcript has 3 exons.